RNA transcript from Triticum dicoccoides, 1841 nucleotides. It is a transcript of the gene named katanin p60 ATPase-containing subunit A-like 2, with no coding region annotated. The transcript is spliced from 13 exons. The record is from RefSeq and is a predicted model, not a curated record. Lineage: Eukaryota; Viridiplantae; Streptophyta; Magnoliopsida; Poales; Poaceae.
UGCCCGCUCCAGUGUUUCCGUGCUCCUGUUUGUUUAUUCAACACAACGCCAACGCCAACGCUAACGCAUCGCCUCAGCUACUUCGGGAGCUGCCGCGUCGUCCGUGCGUGGGGGACCGGCCGCGCACCGCCGCCUCGGCGACCCGGCCCGCCGGACGCCAUGGAUGCCGGCGACGAGCCCUCCGUCACCCGCUGGUCCUUCCAGGACUUCGAGCGCUACUACGACGCGGGCCUCGGCAUCUGCCGCCAGCCCAAGGGCGACGGCGACGACGACGACAACGCGCCGCCCGGAUCGGGCUCCGCCGACACCGCUCACGGCCACGCCAACGGCGGCGCCGACCUGUCCGUCUUCGAGCAGUUCCAGCGGAUGGAUAGAAAUGUCGAGUUGCGCAAUGGGGCAAUGGAUGCCGGGCCACCGCAGAAAUCCCUGCUUCCUUCUUUUGAAUCUGCAGAAACACGCAACUUAGCCGAGACAUUGUUGAGGGAUAUCAUUCGUGGGAGUCCAGAUGUCAAAUGGGAAAGCAUUAAAGGUUUGGAAACUGCGAAGCGACUUCUUAAGGAGGCAGUUGUCAUGCCUAUAAAGUAUCCCAAGUACUUCACAGGUCUGUUAUCACCCUGGAAAGGUAUAUUGCUAUUUGGUCCACCAGGAACAGGAAAGACAAUGCUGGCAAAAGCUGUGGCUACCGAGUGCAAAACAACUUUUUUCAACAUUUCAGCCUCAUCAAUUGUCAGCAAAUGGCGUGGUGACUCGGAGAAACUAGUAAAAGUCUUAUUUGAGCUUGCAAGGCAUCAUGCACCAUCUACCAUUUUCCUUGAUGAGAUUGAUGCUAUCAUUAGCCAACGUGGUGAAGCUCGUAGUGAACAUGAAGCCAGUCGGCGAUUGAAGACUGAACUAUUAAUACAGAUGGAUGGAUUGACUAAGACAGAUGAGCUUGUUUUUGUUCUGGCGGCCACAAAUUUACCUUGGGAACUAGACGCAGCAAUGUUACGCCGAUUGGAAAAACGUAUUCUUGUGCCCUUACCAGAGGCAGAAGCUAGGCAUGCUAUGUUUGAAGAGUUCCUUCCAUCGACUCCAGAUACAAUGGAGAUUCCAUAUGAUGUUCUUGUGGAGAACACCGAAGGAUAUUCCGGCUCUGAUAUACGCCUUGUCUGUAAGGAGGCAGCAAUGCAACCACUUAGACGGUUAAUGGCAGUUCUAGAAGGCAGACAAGAAGAAAUGCCAGAGGAUGAGUUGCCUGAAGUUGGCCCAAUAGCGGCAGAAGAUAUCGAACUUGCCUUGAGGAAUACACGGCCGUCUGCUCAUCUCCAUGCACAUAGAUAUGAGAAAUUCAAUCAAGAUUAUGGCAGCCAUGUCAUUGGCUAAAGGAGCAUGUUGAUAUGACCUUGUUUGCACCCUGUAUGGAGCUUUAGUAUUCGUCGGCAGAAAGGAUAAUUACCAUCCAUGUAUUUCCAGCUCGAACACCACCUCUUUGCAACACCCCUGGAAGGGAACCACCCAGGAGAUGUGCGACAAAGGAGCGCCCAAACCCAAGGAUGUCCGGAAGGAGUCAUGGAAGGGGAUCGCCACCAGCGUCAUCUUCCUCGUGUUUUUUUUUUUUCGAGGCAUCAUCUUCCUCGUGUUAUUGAUGCGGCUAUGCCACGAAGCUUUUGCACUAAGGAAUCUUUCAUGUUAGCACAACAUAGGGAUAAAUUCCUUCACAAUACAAACUGACUGUCCGCAAACCAUGAAUGAUGGAGGCUUCUUGGCUACGUCAGCGGAUACAGUUUAUGCCGAUUGUAAUGUUCUUCUUUCUGGGUUCGAUAAUGUUCUUCUUGAACAUUGUAAAACGGAGGCCUAUAAAG